AGGAAGAAAGGGUUUUCGGCUUCGUAAAAGCUCUUGUUGUUAAAGAAAGAACCGUGGGUAAGGAGUUACCUGUUUACCCCAGUGGCCGGUAUUUAACCCAGAAAAGCCACGGGCUAAACUACGUGCCCAGCAGCCGCGGUUAAUACGUAGGUGGGCAAGCGUUAUCCCGGAUUUAUUGGGCGUAAAGCGAGCGCAGGCGGUCUUUUAAGUCUAAUGUGAAAGCCUUCGGCUCAACCGAAGAAGUGCAUUGGAAACUGGGAGACUUGAGUGCAGAAGAGGACAGUGGAACUCCAUGUGUAGCGGUGAAAUGCGUAGAUAUAUGGAAGAACACCAGUGGCGAAGGCGGCUGUCUGGUCUGCAACUGACGCUGAGGCUCGAAAGCAUGGGUAGCGAACAGGAUUAGAUACCCUGGUAGUCCAUGCCGUAAACGAUGAUUACUAAGUGUUGGAGGGUUUCCGCCCUUCAGUGCUGCAGCUAACGCAUUAAGUAAUCCGCCUGGGGAGUACGACCGCAAGGUUGAAACUCAAAAGAAUUGACGGGGGCCCGCACAAGCGGUGGAGCAUGUGGUUUAAUUCGAAGCUACGCGAAGAACCUUACCAGGUCUUGACAUCUUCUGACAGUCUAAGAGAUUAGAGGUUCCCUUCGGGGACAGAAUGACAGGUGGUGCAUGGUUGUCGUCAGCUCGUGUCGUGAGAUGUUGGGUUAAGUCCCGCAACGAGCGCAACCCUUAUUACUAGUUGCCAGCAUUAAGUUGGGCACUCUAGUGAGACUGCCGGUGACAAACCGGAGGAAGGUGGGGACGACGUCAAAUCAUCAUGCCCCUUAUGACCUGGGCUACACACGUGCUACAAUGGAUGGUACAACGAGUCGCGAGACCGCGAGGUUAAGCUAAUCUCUUAAAACCAUUCUCAGUUCGGACUGUAGGCUGCAACUCGCCUACACGAAGUCGGAAUCGCUAGUAAUCGCGGAUCAGCAUGCCGCGGUGAAUACGUUCCCGGGCCUUGUACACACCGCCCGUCACACCAUGAGAGUUUGUAACACCCAAAGCCGGUGGGGUAACCUUUUAGGAGCUAGCCGUCUAAGGUGACAGAAUGUCAGUA
This 1100-nucleotide ribosomal RNA is filed under the name Pediococcus pentosaceus. RNAcentral's name for it is "bacterial SSU rRNA". It matches the Rfam family "Bacterial small subunit ribosomal RNA", at positions 405 to 1480 of the family's 1533-position model. Lineage: Bacteria; Bacillati; Bacillota; Bacilli; Lactobacillales; Lactobacillaceae. The record is from RNAcentral.